UACGAAGGGGGCUAGCGUUGCUCGGAAUCACUGGGCGUAAAGGGUGCGUAGGCGGGUCUUUUAAGUCAGAGGUGAAAUCCUGGAGCUCAACUCCAGAACUGCCUUUGAUACUGAGGGUCUUGAGUAUGACAGAGGUGAGUGGAACUGCGAGUGUAGAGGUGAAAUUCGUAGAUAUUCGGAAGAACACCAGUGGCGAAGGCGGCUCACUGGCCCGGUACUGACGCUGAGGUGCGAAAGCGUGGGGAGCAAACAGG
This 254-nucleotide ribosomal RNA is filed under the name uncultured bacterium. RNAcentral describes it as "partial 16S ribosomal RNA". It matches the Rfam family "Bacterial small subunit ribosomal RNA", at positions 524 to 776 of the family's 1533-position model. The record is from RNAcentral.